This 360-nucleotide ribosomal RNA is filed under the name Staphylococcus aureus. RNAcentral's name for it is "bacterial SSU rRNA". It matches the Rfam family "Bacterial small subunit ribosomal RNA", at positions 1 to 350 of the family's 1533-position model. Lineage: Bacteria; Bacillati; Bacillota; Bacilli; Caryophanales; Staphylococcaceae. The record is from RNAcentral.
UUUAUGGAGAGUUUGAUCCUGGCUCAGGAUGAACGCUGGCGGCGUGCCUAAUACAUGCAAGUCGAGCGAACGGACGAGAAGCUUGCUUCUCUGAUGUUAGCGGCGGACGGGUGAGUAACACGUGGAUAACCUACCUAUAAGACUGGGAUAACUUCGGGAAACCGGAGCUAAUACCGGAUAAUAUUUUGAACCGCAUGGUUCAAAAGUGAAAGACGGUCUUGCUGUCACUUAUAGAUGGAUCCGCGCUGCAUUAGCUAGUUGGUAAGGUAACGGCUUACCAAGGCAACGAUGCAUAGCCGACCUGAGAGGGUGAUCGGCCACACUGGAACUGAGACACGGUCCAGACUCCUACGGGAGGCA